Molecule: ribosomal RNA, 1050 nt
Filed under: Biston falcata satura
Lineage: Eukaryota; Metazoa; Arthropoda; Insecta; Lepidoptera; Geometridae
Description: partial 16S ribosomal RNA
Source: RNAcentral
AUUAAUAAUUAAUAUAUUUAAUAAAAAUAAUUUUAAUUUAAUAAGUAUUUUAAUGGGGGUUAAAGUAUUUUUUAAAGAAAAAAUUUUUAAAUUUAUAGUUAAUUAGUAUUGUGAAAGAAUUUUGAAAUAUUAUGAAAAAUAAAAUUUUUAGAAAGUAAUUUUUAUUUAUUGUAUCUUGUGUAUCAGAGUUUAUUAAAAAUUUUUAAUUUAUGAAUUAAUUUCUCGAAUUUAAAAGAGUUAAAUAAUUAUUAAAGUUAUUGUAGCAAAAUUAUUUUAAAUAAUUAUUUAGAAAUGAAAUGUUAAUCGUUUUUAAAUAUAUCUAGUUUUUAUAGAAAAAAAUUUAAUUUUAAAUUUAAAAAUUAUUUAAUUAAUUUAUUAAUUAAAUAAUUACUUAAAUUUUAUAAUUUAAGGGAUAAGCUUUAAAUUAAAUUUUUAUAAUAUUAAAUUUUUAUUUUGAAAAUUUUAUAAUUUAUAUUGUUAAUAAAUUUUAUUUUGUUAUAAAUAAUUUCAUUUUUUUUAAAAUUUAAAUUUUAUUUAAUUUUUUAUAUAAAAUUUAUUUAUAAUUAUAUAAAGUUAAUUAUAAUGAUAAAAUUAGUAUAUUAUUUAAUAUUAAAUUAAAAUUAAUUUUUGAUUAAUAAUUAAAUUAAUUAAAAGGAAUUCGGCAAAUAUUUAUUUUCACUUGUUUAUCAAAAACAUGUCUUUUUGUUAUUUAAUUUAAAGUCUAAUCUGCCCACUGAUUUAUAAAAAUUGAAGGGCUGCAGUAUACUGACUGUACAAAGGUAGCAUAAUCAUUAGUCUCUUAAUUGGUGACUUGUAUGAAAGAUUGGAUGAAAAAUAUACUGUCUCUUAAUUAAUAUAUAGAAUUUAAUUUUUUAUUUAAAAAGUUAAAAUAACUUAAAAAGACGAGAAGACCCUAUAGAGUUUAAUAAAUUAUUUUAUGAAAGUUUUAUUUAUAUUUAUUAAUAAUUUUAUAAAUUUAUUUAUUUAGUUGGGGUGAUAAAAAAAUAAAUUUAACUUUUUUUAAGUAAUUUACAUGGAUAAGUGAUUAAU